CUUUUACUUUAUCUAUUUUCCGCACUCUCUUUACUUUAUUUAUUUUCCGCACUCACUUUUACUUUUUUUAUUUUCCACACUCGCUUUUACUUUAUUUAUUUUCUGCACUCACUUUACUUUAUUUAUUUUCCGCACUCGCUUUACUUUAUUUAUUUUACGCACUUUACUCGCUCUCUACGCCUCACAUUCUAAAACAAACUUUUCAUCAUGAUUAACACCGUUGUGUUUGUUUAUGUUACCAUGUC
RNAcentral lists this long non-coding RNA (245 nucleotides) under Lathyrus oleraceus (garden pea). RNAcentral's name for it is "Pisum sativum (pea) long non-coding RNA (PSAT_LNC020834)". Lineage: Eukaryota; Viridiplantae; Streptophyta; Magnoliopsida; Fabales; Fabaceae. The record is from RNAcentral.